Perognathus longimembris pacificus (Pacific pocket mouse) is the source of this 201-nucleotide long non-coding RNA. RefSeq lists it as uncharacterized. Lineage: Eukaryota; Metazoa; Chordata; Mammalia; Rodentia; Heteromyidae. The record is from RefSeq and is a predicted model, not a curated record. The transcript is spliced from 3 exons.
CUGAAGCCCAGAGGGUGUUAGAGGGCAAUCGAUGGGCAUCUGUGUGUGUGAGGGCAAUGGAGAGAAGAUUGUUUCCAUGUCCUGUUGGGCUGGAGAGGGAACAAGGCCCACAGACUUGAGCUGCUUGAAAGUGCAGAGGAAAUUGGAGACAGAGUGUGCUAUGGGGUGUGUGUGUGUGUGUGUGUGUGUGUGUGUGUGUGU